This 125-nucleotide small RNA is filed under the name Marmota monax (woodchuck). Lineage: Eukaryota; Metazoa; Chordata; Mammalia; Rodentia; Sciuridae. The record is from RNAcentral.
GCUGGGCGUGGUGGCAUACGUCUGUAAUUCCAGUGGCUUGGGAGGCUGAGGCAGGAGGAUCAUGAGUUCAAAGCCAGCUUAGACUAAAGCGAGGUGCUAAGCAACUCAGUGAGACCCUGUCUCUA